RNAcentral lists this transfer RNA (76 nucleotides) under Litorihabitans aurantiacus. RNAcentral describes it as "tRNA-Ala". The record is from RNAcentral. Lineage: Bacteria; Bacillati; Actinomycetota; Actinomycetes; Micrococcales; Beutenbergiaceae.
GCAGCCGUGGCACGGGUGCGCGCGCAGCGCGGCCCGCAGCCGCGCGAUGUCGUCGGUCGUGCCCGGCGCGGUCGCG